GAAUAUGAUGAUUAUUGUCAUCGCCCUAGUUUUACAAGCAUAUCUAGAUGUUUGAUGGUAAUCAACACUUCAUUCUUAUUUGAUUC
This is a small nucleolar RNA of Camellia sinensis, 86 nucleotides long. RefSeq annotates it as small nucleolar RNA U31b. NCBI's taxonomy places the organism in Eukaryota, Viridiplantae, Streptophyta, Magnoliopsida, Ericales, Theaceae. The record is from RefSeq and is a predicted model, not a curated record.